AGGGACGAUGCGCGCAGGAUGCGCCAUGUGACUCAUGGACGAUUCAGGGACGAUCGGGGAUGUUCCGCCAGGAUGGCGGAGGUAGUCAGGGAUGUCAGAAUCAGUCUGCAAGACCCCGCUUUGCGGGGUUUU
This 132-nucleotide small RNA is filed under the name Azotobacter vinelandii. The record is from RNAcentral. RNAcentral also lists the same sequence under 3 other names. Lineage: Bacteria; Pseudomonadati; Pseudomonadota; Gammaproteobacteria; Pseudomonadales; Pseudomonadaceae.